AAAACAAAUACUUUAAAAAAACUGAAAAGACUUAAAAAUUUAUAUUUUGCAAAUUCCUUUCUUUUUCUAGUUUUUACAGAAUAUAUAUUUUUCAGUUUUUAAAAGCAUUUUUAAAAAAAAAAUUUCAGGGCAUUAUUGAUCCAUUUUGAAUAACACAAGGGCAUUAUUAGACCAUUUUAUAACGGCAGAGUCAUUUUUGGAUUCAAAUGUAAACGGAGGUUAUAAUUGAUCCAUUUCAAAUACCACAAGAUCAUUUUUAGGCCUUUUCCCUAGUUAAAAUGUUAAAUACUUUUGAAGAACUUGCCCUGCUACUCAUUGUUGAUUUUGCACUUCAAUAAGUAUAUAAAACAUUAGUUAGUAAAUAAAUAUAAUAAUAAUCACUUUCUCAAUGUAAAAUUUACCAGAAAGGACUUGUAUGAUUAUUUUGAUCUUACCGUUCCAAAAAGCUCUCCUUUUCUGUUAUUUGCUUGAACACUUCCAAUUCAGAAAUGAGAUAUGAAACACUGACCUUAAUGCAAUGCUCUGCCGUAAAAAGACAAUGCUAUGAAAUCUGGAAUAAAGGAGUAUUUAUAGGCGAGAGAAAAGCUAGGGUUAGAGAAUAGUUCCUUCUGAUUGAGAAUCAUAUCUCCAUCAAAAUGCCGAUUUUGUAGGUACAUAAAAAUCUGAUUUUCUGAGAAAAGCUUUUAGUGAACGAAUCUUCUGAGCAAUACGACAAAGAGCUUCACAAAAAAGGAGGGACAAAAUCUGUUGUGAAGAAGGGGGAGUUAAUGAAAUUUCACAAAAAUGGAGUCAAUCAAUUGAUCGGCUUUUCUGCGUCUCGUACACCCCUCCAUUAUUGAUGGUAAGGCUGCAAAAAGUUUGGCAAAAGAUAAAAAGCAGAGAUAGAGGCAUAGCUUUCACGCCUCAGCUGCGUCUGCAGUUUGUUUAGGAGAAAAUUAAAUGAGAGGGUGUUACAGGGUAGUAAAAGCGUUUCUUUG
This 977-nucleotide long non-coding RNA is filed under the name Nicotiana tabacum (common tobacco). RNAcentral describes it as "long non-coding RNA (NTAB_LNC016666)". Lineage: Eukaryota; Viridiplantae; Streptophyta; Magnoliopsida; Solanales; Solanaceae. The record is from RNAcentral.